RNAcentral lists this ribosomal RNA (403 nucleotides) under bacterium. RNAcentral describes it as "partial 16S ribosomal RNA". It matches the Rfam family "Bacterial small subunit ribosomal RNA", at positions 355 to 776 of the family's 1533-position model. RNAcentral also lists the same sequence under 1 other name. The record is from RNAcentral.
UGGGGAAUAUUGCACAAUGGAGGGAACUCUGAUGCAGCGACGCCGCGUGAACGAAGAAGGCUUUCGAGUCGUAAAGUUCUUUUAUAUGGGAAGAUAAUGACGGUACCAUAAGAAAAAGCCCCGGCUAACUACGUGCCAGCAGCCGCGGUAAUACGUAGGGGGCUAGCGUUGUCCGGAAUCACUGGGCGUAAAGGGUUCGCAGGCGGAAAUGCAAGUCAGGUGUAAAAGGCAGUAGCUUAACUACUGUAAGCAUUUGAAACUGCACAUCUUGAGAAGAGUAGAGGUAAGUGGAAUUUUUAGUGUAGCGGUGAAAUGCGUAGAUAUUAAAAAGAAUACCGGUGGCGAAGGCGACUUACUGGGCUCAUUCUGACGCUGAGGAACGAAAGCGUGGGUAGCAAACAGG